This 450-nucleotide ribosomal RNA is filed under the name uncultured bacterium. RNAcentral describes it as "bacterial SSU rRNA". It matches the Rfam family "Bacterial small subunit ribosomal RNA", at positions 354 to 796 of the family's 1533-position model. The record is from RNAcentral.
GUGGGGAAUAUUGGACAAUGGGCGAAAGCCUGAUCCAGCCAUGCCGCGUGUGUGAAGAAGGUCUUCGGAUUGUAAAGCACUUUAAGUUGGGAGGAAGGGCAGUAAGUUAAUACCUUGCUGUUUUGACGUUACCGACAGAAUAAGCACCGGCUAACUUCGUGCCAGCAGCCGCGGUAAUACGAAGGGUGCAAGCGUUAAUCGGAAUUACUGGGCGUAAAGCGCGCGUAGGUGGUUUUGUAAGUUGGAGGUGAAAUCCCCGGGCUCAACCUGGGAACUGCCUCCAAAACUGCAUGACUAGAGUACGGUAGAGGGUAGUGGAAUUUCCUGUGUAGCGGUGAAAUGCGUAGAUAUAGGAAGGAACACCAGUGGCGAAGGCGACUACCUGGACUGAUACUGACACUGAGGUGCGAAAGCGUGGGGAGCAAACAGGAUUAGAAACCCGUGUAGUCC